RNAcentral lists this ribosomal RNA (657 nucleotides) under uncultured bacterium. RNAcentral describes it as "bacterial SSU rRNA". It matches the Rfam family "Bacterial small subunit ribosomal RNA", at positions 807 to 1463 of the family's 1533-position model. The record is from RNAcentral.
CGAUGUCUACUCGGAAUUUGGUGUCUUGAGCACUGGGUUCUCAAGCUAACGCAUUAAGUAGACCGCCUGGGGAGUACGGCCGCAAGGUUAAAACUCAAAUGAAUUGACGGGGGCCCGCACAAGCGGUGGAGCAUGUGGUUUAAUUCGAUGCAACGCGAAGAACCUUACCUACUCUUGACAUCCUCAGAAUUUAGUAGAGAUACUUUAGUGCCUUCGGGAACUGAGAGACAGGUGCUGCAUGGCUGUCGUCAGCUCGUGUUGUGAAAUGUUGGGUUAAGUCCCGCAACGAGCGCAACCCUUAUCCUUAUUUGCCAGCACGUAAUGGUGGGAACUUUAGGGAGACUGCCGGUGAUAAACCGGAGGAAGGUGGGGACGACGUCAAGUCAUCAUGGCCCUUACGAGUAGGGCUACACACGUGCUACAAUGGCGAGUACAGAGGGUUGCGAAGCCGCGAGGUGGAGCUAAUCUCAUAAAGCUCGUCGUAGUCCGGAUUGGAGUCUGCAACUCGACUCCAUGAAGUCGGAAUCGCUAGUAAUCGUGGAUCAGAAUGCCACGGUGAAUACGUUCCCGGGCCUUGUACACACCGCCCGUCACACCAUGGGAGUGGGCUGCACCAGAAGUAGAUAGCUUAACCCCAAUCUUCGGAAAGGGGAGGGC